AGAAAUGCCUUUUACCUCCCACUGUGAUUCUGAGGCCCCCUCAGCCAUGUGGAAUUUGAAUACUUGGCAGGACAACAGGCAGACAAGGAGCAGCCUGGGCUACACCCUCCUCCAUCCAGCUUGGCAGGGAAGGUUGGGGCAGGGCCUCGCUAGGAGAUAGGGGCUAGAGGGCGAGGCCAGGGGCAGGGUUAGGCAUGGGGACAGCACCACGGUGGGGUCUUCCUGGCUCACUGUCCACUACCAGGUACUGGGAUCCCCAGUUAUUUUAUUGCCUCACCAUGAAAAGAAGUGAAAGCAUUCCCUAAACAUAAUUUCAUCAUUGUCUUUAUCUCUCUCCCGCCACAUUUCUUCUUUUCUAUUGCUCUUUCUCUCACAAAAGCAGGGGAUAUAUAUGAAACUUGCUAAGUGGUUCUAUUGAAGCUUCUUCCAUUAAGCUUGAGAGUCUUGGUGCCUCAGUUGAAACUUCCAAUUUAACAUCCUGACACACACUACUCCCUCUUCCUGUGAUCAUCAGAACAAGAUAAAACCUUGUGUGUCUGGAUAGUUCUCAUCUGUUAAGAUUCAGGU
RNAcentral lists this long non-coding RNA (567 nucleotides) under Homo sapiens (human). Its description in RNAcentral is "non-protein coding lnc-OR1J2-1:3". Lineage: Eukaryota; Metazoa; Chordata; Mammalia; Primates; Hominidae. The record is from RNAcentral.